CGCCAGCUGCAGCCCCGGCCGCCCACUCGCCUCAUCUGAGCCUGGGCGAAUCUGGAUUGGGAAAGUUGAUAUUAAUCAACUCAUUAUUCCUCACAGAUUUGUAUUCUCCAGAGUAUCCAGGUCCUUCUCAGAGAAUUAAAAAGCCUGUACAGGUCUACAUAUUGGUAUUUUUAAUUGAUGAUAAGCUGGAAUAAUAUUAAUACACACAAAGCACGUGUUGUAACUUUCAUUAUGCUUCCCUAGAGGUAAGAUGCAAAUUUGCCCUUAGCCAGUGUAAGAUGGUAAAUAUGACUUCAUAAAAUCAAAAAAACAGAGGAAGUACAGUUAAUCGAAAGAAUUAUCUUGACUAGAACUUUCCAAAUUUGUCCUAAGGAUUCUCCUAGAGAUGACACUGUGACAUAGUAACCAAUUCCCCUGGAGUUGUGCUAUGUAGUAUGAUAGUCAUUUGCCACAUGUGGCUAUUAAUCUUUGAAAUGUGGGUAGUCUGAAUUGUGAUGUUCUGCAAAUAUAAAAUAUGCCACAGAUUUCUAAGACUGAGCAUGGAAAAGAAAAUCUCCGUAAUUUUUUAUAUUGAUUGUAUACUGCAGUGAUAAUAUUUUGGAUGUAUCGGGUUAAAUAAAAUUGACUGAUUUCACCUUUUUCCUAUUUUAAAAGUGGCUACUAAGAAAAUUUUAAAUUACUUACAUGACCGACAUGGUAUUUUUAUUUGGCAGCGCUGCUCUAAGCUGUUGAUGAAAAAUAUUGUUGGUGAGCUCUGCUUAGGUAAUAUGUAGGACACGAGCAGAGAGGAGGCACGUGAACAGUUCUGGCUGAAGUAGGCUUCAUUGAGGCCGUGAUGCUUUUAGCUGGAUUUGAAGAAGUGGUAGUGAGCAUCCCAGUGCACAGGAUAGGAGGACAGUCUAUAUAUUCUGAGCAGUAACUCAUAUAUAUCAUACUGCAAGACCCCAAAGGAGUAAUUUUUUGAAGUAAAUAUCUUAUUUCUCCUUUUUAAUGUUUCUAUUUUGGGAAUUUUUUUUUUUUUAGUAACCUUCAUAGGGCUUGAGAUUUAAAAUUACCUGCAAAAUUCUACUCUAAAAACUUGAUCCUACAUGCUUAUUUAUUUUGUGAUAAAUAUUGGAAAUUUUAAACCUAAGCAAGAAAAUGAACUUUGAACUUUCUUAAUUUGGGUAUCUAUUAUGAAUACCUUCACUUAAGUAUUUAUGAAUUUAGAUAUGAAAGGUAAAACUAACCACUAUCCAAAUUAAUAUACAGUUCAUUUCCAGAACCCUAGUUUCUUCCAUGUGCUCACUCGCAUUCAGUAUUACAACCCCCAAAGAUAAACACCUUACUGACUGCCUUCUCCAUAAAUUUGCCUGUUCUUGAACGUUAUAUACGUAUACUUUUUUGUAUCUGUUUUCUUUCAGUGAAGAUUAUGUCUGUAUUAUUUACUCAUGUUGGGUGUAGUUGUUUUUUUCAUCGUCGUAUAAUACUCCAUUGUGUGAAUGUAUAAAGUAUAUCCUUUAUUAUUUAUUGUAGAUAAGCCUUUGGGUUUUCAGUUUUUUACUAACGGGAACAUUCUUGUGCAUGUCUUAGUAGACUUAGGCACUCAUUGCUGUUGUGUGUGCAUAAAGAUAUAAAGGUAUUUGAGUUUAUUUUAUUUGAUUUCUAGUGAGGUUGAACAUGUCUUGUACUCAAUAACUGUUCAGAUUUCAUUAAAGUCUUUUGGUAAUCUUAAUAUUUUCUGUCAUUUUCUUGCUGAUUUAUAGGAGUUUGAAAAAUCUAAUAAUCCCCUACAUUUUAGAUAUUGCAGACAUUUUCUCCCCAGGUGAGCAUCUGUUAAAGAUGUGACAUGCCCUCAAUUUAUUUUAGAAUUCUUACAUUGGCUUAGCUUCAAAAUAAAUUGCCUAAACCCAUUUUACCUUCCUUUAAAGUAACACUUCAAAAAUAUCCUCUUCUGUUGUGAAUAUCUUCCCGGAAACUCUCUUUAUCUUGAAAACAAAGGGGUAAUGGAGGUACUAGAGAAUAUCUCUAGUAGGAUUUUUAAGACAGGCCUGUGCACCACUGUUAAAUAUCUUUUCUGUACCAAAAAGAAGACCUGUAACAUUUGAGAACCAGAUUGAUCCUUAGUAGAAUCCUGUAGAAGUCCUCUUUCCUGAUUGAACCAUAGAGGUGUAUUCCUUUAUAUACUGAAAACUAGCUGAAGAUAAUCUAAACUCUUGUGCCCAGUUAGGAAAGAACAUGCCAUAUUAUGGACAGGGUCAGAGUCAUUCAAGAAGCCUGAAUAUAGUUAGAAAAUGAGAAUGUAAUCUUUUUAAUAGUUGGCUGGCUCUUUACCAAGCCCAGUAGUCUUGAAGAUAUAGGGGAAAUAGUGUAAACGGUUGUCAAGAUGAAUCUAAAAUGGAAAUUAAUCAGUUCCCUAGAAUAGAUUGAGAAAUUAGCUUUAGGAAAAAGAUAAAUUUCACACACACUGUACCAUGGAAGGUACAGUGCUGAUUCAGACAGACUGGGAAUGGUCUCAUUUUUAAGUGGUGAUGUGAGGUACUUCACUGAGCAUUGUGACAGGCACGGGCUUGGGAAGAGCCUAUUAGGAAAUGGGAGAGGCAUGAGACUAAGGAGCACAUAAGAGUAAUAUUAGCAGAGAAAUUCUUUUUGAGGUUGAAGGUCAUGAAUUUUAUGGUAUAGGAAUAGAAAGAGGGGUUAAUCCAGAAUGGGAUUUGAGUUGGAAAGGGAAAGAAAUAAAGGUUUUGGGAAGGAGGUUGCUAAUAGAAAAUGAGAGGGGCAAGGGAUUUGAGGUCUCAGUAAGGAGACAGGGAUAUGAGGAGUGGAGAGGUUCAGAAUAGAAAGCCAAAUUAGAGUUUUGGGAUCAACUUUCUUCUCAGUAAAGUAGUCCUGGGUCUUCGUGAGAAGGAAGUAUUCUUCAGGCAUAACUGUUCUACUAUUGGUUACUUCCUCUUUCAUUGUCUUGUGGAACACGAUGAAACAUUUAAGAUGAUAUUCAUCUUUUGAGCCAAUAAAUAAGGGAAAUAGAUAGUUUUUGUGUUUGAGCUAAGUGGAGUAUCUCAGGCCAUUCCAAUGUCUUCAGAGUUUUGGCUGUAAUGCUACCUCUUGAGCAAGUGUAGGUAGAGGUAAGCUCUUGACAGAAAAUUUUAACCCUCUCUUCAAAAUGUUAUAUGCUUAAUUAAAUAACUUCUUAAUUUACCUUAAUAAAUGGCGUAUAAACAUUAAGUUAGAAAAGGUUAGUGUAUAUGAAGCUGUAUAAUCAACAUUGUUUGACUUUUUUUCCUCAGAUUGUAAAACUGAAAACUCAGUAUACUAAUACUCUUGUAUACUGUAUACACUCAGUAUUAGAAAAUGAGUACCUUUGAUUUCUGGAAUCUCGGAUGCCAAAAGAGGUCUCAAUAGAUGAAUUAUACAUAGAUGAUUCAUAGACGAUAGUUUUAGUUUUAUUUAUUUUUCAGGGAAAAACAUUUGACAAUGUUCUUGAUUCAUUUUUUUGGUAUUAAAUUAUGCAGCUAAUCUUAGAGAACCCUGAGUGAUGCCAUAAAAGAUGUUGAUGUGGCCUGCUUAAGGAAAGUGCACGGGAAAGUGGCCAUUUGGAAUAGAUUUGUUAAGAAAAGUUUGAAAUUCUUGGACUCGAACUAAUUUGUUUUCCAUGGAUCCCAUGAGGAUACUUGUAAAAGCAGAUGAUAGGGUCCAGUUGGAUCCUGUGAAUGGCACUAGUUUGCAGUUAUGUUUUCUGGAUCUCUUCCAUAUGUCGCUGACUUCUUUGUAUUUGACCAUGUAUGGACAUACAGAAUUUCAUAGGCCAGAGAAGAAAAGAAGCUUUAUAAACAUUCCUUAUGUGUGUAAAAUACAAAUCUUCAUUUGUCUUAGCAAGUCAAUAAGUAAUUAAGUUGUUGAACUGAUUUUUUUUUUAAACAGGGAAAUAUCUUAAAAUUUAAGCUGUUAGGUUAAAAUGUGUGUUUGGUAUACAGCAUAUUACUGAAGGUAGAAUGGGCUUCAUUUGGUAAUAAAGGAACCAGAAAUAUUUUUAAGUAAAAUUGGGAGAUGAUUCAUGUAGAUUAACUAUAUUUUUGUAUCACUUUCUAGAAUACAGUACUAUGUUGUUUAAAAGAGUAAGUAGGUAAAGGAGUGGUAUAAUUACUUUGGAUAUUUCUGCGUCAGCCACAGUUACCAUGAAUAAAUGAUCUGUCUUUAUAAAGGAGAUGGAAGUGAAUUCAAGAUAUUGAGAUGUUAGAUUUGACUGGGUUGUCCUUUGACUAGAAGAUCACCAGAUAAAGAAAAUGUAAACUUCCUAAACCAGAUAAGAUGAUAUUGUUAAAAAAUUUUUUUGGCCCAGCACUUUGGGAGGCUGAAAUGGGAAGAUUGCUUGAACCCAGGAGUUUGAAGCUGCAGUAAGCUAUGAUCUACCAUGCACUCCAGCCUGGGCAACAGAGUGAGACCCUGACUAAAAAAAAAAAUUUUUUUUCCUUUGGUUCUCAUGAUUUCACACUGAUGAAUCUGAUUGUUUUCUCUGAGUCAUUUUGCCUCUCUCAUGUUAUUAGGGUAACCUGAUAAUAGACAUGUUAUCUGAGUUAUGUGGUAUGUAACAGUGAUCUUCUAAAUGAUGUGCAUCCAUCACUGAUACUGAGGAUGAUCAGAAACUAUUACAACUCUUAUUUAUUGAUCUUUACUUUUAAUCUACAGAUAAAUGAUAAUACAUAUUAAUACUUAAUAUUCAGAUUGCCAAUAGUAUAUAUUUGGUGGGUAAAUAUCUUUUGGAUCUGCAAAAUUUUCACUGAUAGUUUGUAUCAGGAUCAAAGCAGUUUGAAGAACAUUAAUCUAAAAGAUAAGACUUUGGCAUCUCAUUUCUCUAAAAGAUAAGUCAUGCAUGUACACACUCAGGCAAUUUUUUUCAGUUUUAUAAGUUUUAUUCUUGAUAAUAAAAUUCUUUUAACAGAAAACUCUUGAUUGCUAUAGACCUCUGCUGUGUAUUCAGUAGUCACUAGCCACAUGUGGCUAUUUAAGUUAAUUCAAAUUAAAUAAAAUUAAAUAUCAGUUCCUUAUUUGCACUAGUCAGAUUUUAAGGAGUAAGUAGCCACAUGGGCAAGUGGCUACCAUAUUGGACAGUGUGGAUACACAACAAUUCCAUCAUCUCAGAAAGUGUUAUUGGAUAGUGUGGCUACAGACUUUUCUUGCUCAGCAAUCUUAGUCUCCGCAUGUUAGUCUCUUCAUGCAUUAGGUAGCAUCUAUAAAACAUGCCAAAAGGAAAUAGGCUAUCUCUAAAAGUGUCCCAAACUUUUUGUCUUGUAAAUUAGCUUAUCAGCAUACUUGGAGCCUCUUGCCUUAAAAAGGACUUGAUAUAAAUGUGUAUCAGGAGAAAGCCUAUCUUAUGAAGGAAUUAUUCCCUUUUUAUUUGAAUCCAUGUUUGCUUUAUCUUCGGCUCCUGAAAACUGAUACUUUGCAUUUAACAGCAGCAUAUGCCCAGGAUGAAUGAUAAUACAUCUCCUGAUACAGAGCUUGAGGUUACAGAAUAUCUUAAAUUGUUCCAGGAACUGUUGUUAUCAUUUAAGUCCAAUAAUCAGUAAGAUUUCACCCUACCAGAAUACACUUUUUUUUAUUAACUGUCUGGACCUUUGCUGAUUACAUUGUCCGGAAUGUGGAGUAUCGCAUUUGAGAAGAGGAUUGGAUCCUAGCCAUAACAUAAAUAUAAGGGUAAUUACAUCCAUGCUGAGAAAGAUUUAGGAAUGAUAGUAAGUUCAUUUGAGUGAGUGGUUUGGGCCAAACUUGAUAGAGAAUAGUCCAGGAAGACAUUUACUAUAAACAGUAGAUUAAAUGUUCUUGCCUGGUUAAUUACAUUUGAACUCUGUUAAUGACUGAAUCACUCAAACUGCUUAAUUGUAUUAUUAGAUGCACAUUUAAGUUAUGUAUUACAUGUCUUUAGUGGUGAUCAGAAUUUUAUCAGUUCCUCUGUCUUUCUUUAUACCAAGUAUGACUCAUAAACCCAGUAUUAAUUUGCCAAGAGAUUGGCAUACUAUUUGUAUAUAUGCUUUUCUUUCAAAUAAUCUGGAUUCCCAAUGCCCACAAUCAUUGAUCCUAAAGAAAAUGUGAGAGUAGGUAGAUAAACUCAAACAUCCCUACCAUCACCCCUGGUAGGAAAUCACUGGUGUAAUGUAUGAUAUUAACAUCUGCACCAAUUACUCUUAUAGGUGGAACAAUCCAAAGUUUUAAUCAGAGAAGGUGGUGUUCAGUUGCUGCUUACAAUAGUUGAUACCCCAGUAUUUGGAGAUGCAGUGGAUAACAGUAAUUGGUAAAAAGGAUUUGUCCUCACAACUUUCCAGUGUAUUUGGGGUACUGGGGUGGUUAAACUUUCUCUUCUUAACAUUUUAAAACUCUUCUUAGCAAAGGUCACCAAACUUCAAGUAACAUGACAGGUUUGUAUACCAACUUUGCCACUUAUUUGACAAAGUUUAACUUCAAAGUUAAACAAAGAAGUUUAACUUCUUUGAACCCAUUUACUUUUUGAUAAAAUGGAGAUAAUACCUAUCAUAAAAUUGUUUUGAAGACAUAUUCCAAAAUAACGUAGCUAGAUAGAAGAAUUCUCAUUAUUGGAAGAAAUUUAAAAUGCUUUGCUUUAAUUUUAUCCAUUUGUAUAAAUUCUAUCACAAUCCUAAUUUAAACCUGAUAUUUAGACCUUCAGUUUUUCCAUAAGUCCUAAGUGAAGAAAACAACUAUGAAAUUUUAGUCUGAAGUAAUUAUCUUAGUAUUUUAUAAAUAACUUUAAUUUUGUUUGAAUUCACAUUGUUUUUGAGGUAUUUUUCUGUCAACUCUUAAAACUCCUAAGUUCAUCAUGA
This 6812-nucleotide long non-coding RNA is filed under the name Homo sapiens (human). RNAcentral's name for it is "HSALNT0022778". Lineage: Eukaryota; Metazoa; Chordata; Mammalia; Primates; Hominidae. The record is from RNAcentral.